RNAcentral lists this long non-coding RNA (594 nucleotides) under Marmota monax (woodchuck). Lineage: Eukaryota; Metazoa; Chordata; Mammalia; Rodentia; Sciuridae. The record is from RNAcentral.
AAGUGGGAAGAGGAAAAAACAUCUGGUGAUAGUCUAGGGUCAUCAGCUAUGCAUGGGUCAGGGAGAAAAGGAAGAAAUGGGAGCAAGAGAGUGGGCCAUCUCCACAACCAAGGAGAAGAGAAUGACCAGAAAAAGGGAACUCCUGCAGAGACACCAGGCUACUGAGAAAGACCUACAGAUUGAGACAAGGGCCUUUUAACUUUUAACUUUGACUUGAUAAGUUUCAGGAAAAUAUGAGGGUUAGAGCUAAGGGAGUCCUACCAUGUUCCAGCAUGCAAAACGGUGCCUGGCAUAGGUGGGUGUUUCAUAGACAUUUUGAAUGUGUGGAUAAAUGAAUGGAUAGAUGAAUGGAUGGAUGGAUAAAUGGAAGUCUGAAUGGAUACAAAGAGUGGUCUGAGACAUCAGGGAAGGUUUCUUGAAUAUGGUGGGAUUGCAUUAUGUCUCCGUGGGUAGAAAAGCAAGUAGGAGAGUCUCCAUGUGGAGGUUCCUUAAGUCAGGCAUGACCCAGUGUCUGUGGGUCCAGGGAAGAAACUGUCAGGGCUGGACAAUUGGGAAUUUGUGAAAGGAGAUUCAUAAGUUCUAAAAUGAGGCCAG